GCUGGGUGUGGUGGCGCACGCCUGUAGUCCCAGCUACUUGGGAGGCUGAGGCAGGAGAAUCGCUUGAACCCAGGAGGCAGAGGUUGCAGUGAGCCAAGAUUGCACCACUGCACUCUAGCCUGGGCAACAGAGCGAGACUCUGACUCAA
RNAcentral lists this signal recognition particle RNA (148 nucleotides) under Pan paniscus (pygmy chimpanzee). RNAcentral's name for it is "Metazoan signal recognition particle RNA". It matches the Rfam family "Metazoan signal recognition particle RNA". From Rfam's summary of the family: The signal recognition particle (SRP) is a universally conserved ribonucleoprotein. It is involved in the co-translational targeting of proteins to membranes. The eukaryotic SRP consists of a 300-nucleotide 7S RNA and six proteins: SRPs 72, 68, 54, 19, 14, and 9. RNAcentral also lists the same sequence under 1 other name. Lineage: Eukaryota; Metazoa; Chordata; Mammalia; Primates; Hominidae. The record is from Rfam by way of RNAcentral.